GGAAUAUUGCACAAUGGGCGAAAGCCUGAUGCAGCGACGCCGCGUGAGGGAUGACGGCCUUCGGGUUGUAAACCUCUUUCAGCAGGGAAGAAGCGCAAGUGACGGUACCUGCAGAAGAAGCGCCGGCUAACUACGUGCCAGCAGCCGCGGUAAUACGUAGGGCGCAAGCGUUGUCCGGAAUUAUUGGGCGUAAAGAGCUCGUAGGCGGCUUGUCACGUCGGAUGUGAAAGCCCGGGGCUUAACCCCGGGUCUGCAUUCGAUACGGGCUAGCUAGAGUGUGGUAGGGGAGAUCGGAAUUCCUGGUGUAGCGGUGAAAUGCGCAGAUAUCAGGAGGAACACCGGUGGCGAAGGCGGAUCUCUGGGCCAUUACUGACGCUGAGGAGCGAAAGCGUGGGGAGCGAACAGGAUUAGAUACCCUGGUAGUCCACGCCGUAAACGUUGGGAACUAGGUGUUGGCGACAUUCCACGUCGUCGGUGCCGCAGCUAACGCAUUAAGUUCCCCGCCUGGGGGG
Molecule: ribosomal RNA, 512 nt
Filed under: Streptomyces sp. CKS_10
Lineage: Bacteria; Bacillati; Actinomycetota; Actinomycetes; Kitasatosporales; Streptomycetaceae
Description: bacterial SSU rRNA
Rfam family: Bacterial small subunit ribosomal RNA
Source: RNAcentral